UAAUCCUACGGGGGGCAGCAGUAGGGAAUCUUCCACAAUGGGCGAAAGCCUGAUGGAGCAACGCCGCGUGGGUGAAGAAGGUCUUCGGAUCGUAAAACCCUGUUGUUAGAGAAGAAAGUGCGUGAGAGUAACUGUUCACGUUUCGACGAUAUCUAGCCAGAAAGCGACGGCUAACUACGUGCCAGCAGCCGCGGAAAUACGUAGGUGGCAAGCGUUAUCCGGAUUUAUUGGGCGUAAAGGGAACACAGGCGGUCUUUUAAGGCUGUUGAGAAAACC
This 276-nucleotide ribosomal RNA is filed under the name uncultured bacterium. RNAcentral's name for it is "partial 16S ribosomal RNA". It matches the Rfam family "Bacterial small subunit ribosomal RNA", at positions 334 to 602 of the family's 1533-position model. The record is from RNAcentral.